Molecule: non-coding RNA, 265 nt
Organism: Cinara cedri
Lineage: Eukaryota; Metazoa; Arthropoda; Insecta; Hemiptera; Aphididae
Source: the annotation of a GenBank genome assembly
UUAUUAAUUUUAACAAUAACGUUACAAAUAACGCGAACUGGUCUAUUCCUAGACUUUCGUAGAGAGUACUGUGUGAUCGUGCAUUAGCAAUAGCAGAUAACUGUUGAAUUCAUGGUUUUACGAUAAAUGACCGUUGAUACCUAAUAAAUGUCUGAACCUACAAUAACGGCUAUGCUCCCGGUGGUUUAGGUUUAAUACCGUGUAGAGAUAGGUAAGUAUGUAUUACUGUUUAUUGUCGCACUUGUAACGAAAAAUUAGUUCGGAG